Long non-coding RNA from Cyprinus carpio (common carp), 1644 nucleotides. The record is from Ensembl. Lineage: Eukaryota; Metazoa; Chordata; Actinopteri; Cypriniformes; Cyprinidae.
AUGAAUUUGGGCACAGUACCGGGUGAGUUCACAGUUCUUUGUAUUCAAUGGAUAAAUGGAAGGCAAAUGCAUUCAGAUCAAUACUAUGCCAUAAGAGGGGCCCAGAGUGUGCAAGCGAGGAGGGGGAAUUGGUGGAAUUGGACAAUGGAGCCACUGAUUAAUCAUUCCUGUGCUGUUAUUGACUUUCUGGUAAAGGGACAGGAUGAAGAGCUUGACUGUGUGUUAACAGCACAUGAUAAUGGGCAUCCCACAGGGUGUUAAAUACAGACACAUAUCAGCCAACCAGACAAAACACAGGAGGUUGUCGGACAAGAGCUAGGGGGAAGGGAAGUGUCACAUUUCCCCAGCUUUGACAUCUGACCUUCUGGCUGUGACCUUGUACAUUGUCUGAGAGGGCAGACGGGCACAGCUGAGUACAAAUCACCCCCUUCACCAAAGGAUGAUGCUGUAUGAUCAUUCACGCAUUCCAGAUAAUCUGUGACUCCUUUAUUGUCUAACUAUUUCCCUUGUUCUAUCUACCUGCCUCUGUUCUCUGUUGAUAAAUAUCUAUUGUGUCAGCUUUUUACUGGUUAACUUUGCAUAAGAAUUCAAAUCCACUGGUAGAAAAUCAGGCCAGGCUGAAAUCUACAGCAUGGUGUGAAGCCAACAUACUCAGAGUUCACUAAGUGAUUCUUUUUCCAGUAUUCAAGUCAUUAAUGCACACAAAGUGAGAGCAUUUGAGAAGGUUUCAUCAUAUUAAUUAGGAAAUACUACUGCUGAAGUACUAUCAACAAUAAUUUAAGAGUCAAACACGCUCUCACUGUGACCAAACAUAACAGUAGAACUGAACACAUCAUACUAUAUCUCAAAAUGUUUACUUGUAACUACUGAUCUUAUUCUUACUCUACCAUGUUUUUUAAUUCGCCAUUAAACUUCACCUUGUGCUUGAACAAUGCACAAGUGUUUGCACUUGAUCCGUUUCCUGACCUUUCUUUGCUCUAAGCAAACGUCCCGAGAAGGGAACCAUGGUUACGGCUUUCAUCUUACAGUCUGGUUCCUCUAAACUGCAUGCACCCAAAAGCCACAGCUGCUUUUUAAACAAUCAAGUCGUUUUCCUCAUUCAUUCCUCCAUAAAAAGGCAAAUGCAAUCUAAUGCCACCAUGACUGUUCCUCAAAGGCCUUAAGAAUCCCCCAAAAAAUGUUUCUUAUGAAGCCUCUGGGUGUUCAAUGCUGUUUUGAAGAGUCUGCUGUCUUUGUGUGUGGUUCUACACUGAGAGAUACUGGGCUGAAAGCUUCAACAAAGCCUAUAUUUUUAAUUAUCAGCUAAACUACUUUAAAAGCAUUUAAUACUCAAUAUGUUAACAUGGUUAAUUCUCAGUAUGUUAAUAUGUUAAAGGCACAAUAAUAUGACUACUGAAAAAGUAAAAUAAUGAAAUAUAUAUAUAUAUAUAUAGAGAGAGAGAGAGAGAGAGAGAGAGGGAGGGAGAGAGAGAGAGAGAGAGAAUACAACCUGUACAAAAGUUUGCAUUCAAAAAAAAAACUUACUUAGACCUAAUAACCUACUUAAGACUGGAAUAAUGACUGCUGAAAUUUUGCCAACACAGAAAUUAAUUACAUUUUAAAAUAUAUUAAAAUAAAAAAGUUAUUGUUUAAUGUUUAAUGUCA